This 489-nucleotide ribosomal RNA is filed under the name uncultured bacterium. RNAcentral describes it as "bacterial SSU rRNA". It matches the Rfam family "Bacterial small subunit ribosomal RNA", at positions 28 to 508 of the family's 1533-position model. The record is from RNAcentral.
GAUGAACGCUAGCGGCAGGCUUAAUACAUGCAAGUCGAGGGGUAGCAAGAUUGUAGCAAUACAAUUGUUGACGACCGGCAAACGGGUGCGGAACACGUACACAACCUUCCUACAAGUGGGGAAUAGCCCAGAGAAAUUUGGAUUAAUACCCCGUAACAUAGCGAUGUGGCAUCACAUUGCUAUUAUAGCUUCGGCGCUUGUUGAUGGGUGUGCGGCUGAUUAGAUAGUUGGCGGGGUAACGGCCCACCAAGUCUACGAUCAGUAGCUGAUGUGAGAGCAUGAUCAGCCACACGGGCACUGAGACACGGGCCUGACUCCUACGGGAGGCAGCAGUAAGGAAUAUUGGACAAUGGACGCAAGUCUGAUCCAGCCAUGCCGCGUGAAGGAUUAAGGUCCUCUGGAUUGUAACUUCUUUUAUAAGGGACGAAAAAGGUACUUUACUAGAUCGUCUGACGGUACCUUAUGAAUAAGCACCGGCUAACUCCGUCG